GGUACGGGCAGUGAGAGCUGUAGCCCGGAGAUGGGGACUGAGACAAGGCCCCAGGCCCUACGGGGCGCAGCAGGCGCGAAACCUUCACAAUGCUCGAAAGAGUGAUGAGGGUACUCCGAGUGCCUAUGCUUUGCAUAGGCUUUUGUCUAGCGUAAAUAGUUGGGCGAAUAAGGGCUGGGCAAGACCGGUGCCAGCCGCCGCGGUAACACCGGCAGCCCAAGUGGUGACCGCUUUUAUUGGGCCUAAAGCGUCCGUAGCCGGACAGGCAAGUCUUUGGGUAAAUCCUACGUCUUAAGCGUGGGAAUUCUAAAGAUACUACCUGUCUUGAGGCCGGGAGAGGCUAGAGGUACUCCUGGGGUAGGGGUAAAAUCCUAUAAUCCCAGGGGGACCACCGAUGGCGAAGGCAUCUAGCUGGAACGGGCCUGACGGUGAGGGACGAAACCCAGGGGAGCGAGCCGGAUUAGAUACCCGGGUAGUCCUGGGCGUAAAUGAUGUGGGCUUGGUGUGAGCGCAUCGACGAGGUGUGCUUGUGCCGUAGGGAAGCCGUUAAGCCCACCGCCUGGG
RNAcentral lists this ribosomal RNA (564 nucleotides) under uncultured archaeon. RNAcentral describes it as "bacterial SSU rRNA". It matches the Rfam family "Archaeal small subunit ribosomal RNA", at positions 266 to 832 of the family's 1478-position model. The record is from RNAcentral.